GACGAACGCUGGCGGCGUGCUUAACACAUGCAAGUCGAGCGGGGCGGCGAACGGGGGAGUAACGCGUGAGUAACUGCCCCCCUCUCUGGGAUAACAGUUGGAAACGGCUGCUAAUGCCGGAUAGUGGGGGAUGACUCGCGUCCUAUCAGCUUGUUGGUUGGGUAGUUGCCGACCAAGGCGACGACGGGUAGCCGGCCUGAGAGGGCGACCGGCCACAUAGGGCUACGAGACGGACCAAUAUCCUACGGGAGGCAACAGUGGGGAAUCUUACGCAAUGGCGGCAACCCUGAUGAAGCAGCGCCGCGUGCGUGAAGACGGGUUGCGGGUUGUAAACCGCUUUCAGCCAUGACGCGGUAGUGGCAGAAGAAGCACCGGCUAACUACGUGCCAGCAGCCGCGGUAAUAC
This 405-nucleotide ribosomal RNA is filed under the name uncultured bacterium. RNAcentral describes it as "partial 16S ribosomal RNA". It matches the Rfam family "Bacterial small subunit ribosomal RNA", at positions 28 to 526 of the family's 1533-position model. The record is from RNAcentral.